GACGAACGCUGGCGGCGUGCCUAAUACAUGCAAGUCGAGCGAAGUUUUUCUGGUGCUUGCACUAGAAAAACUUAGCGGCGAACGGGUGAGUAACACGUAAAGAACCUGCCUCAUAGACUGGGACAACUAUUGGAAACGAUAGCUAAUACCGGAUAACAGCAUUAACUGCAUGGUUGAUGUUUAAAAGUUGGUUUUGCUAACACUAUGAGAUGGCUUUGCGGUGCAUUAGCUAGUUGGUGGGGUAAAGGCCUACCAAGGCGACGAUGCAUAGCCGACCUGAGAGGGUGAUCGGCCACACUGGAACUGAGACACGGCCCAGACUCCUACGGGAGGCAGCAGUAGGGAAUCUUCGCAAAGGGCGAAAGCCUGACGGAGCAACGCCGCGUGAGUGAAGAAGGAUUUCGGUUCGUAAAGCUCUGUUGUUAGGGAAGAAUGAUUGUGUAGUAACUAUACACAGUAGAGACGGUACCUAACCAGAAAGCCACGGCUAACUACGUG
Molecule: ribosomal RNA, 498 nt
Filed under: uncultured bacterium
Lineage: Bacteria
Description: partial 16S ribosomal RNA
Rfam family: Bacterial small subunit ribosomal RNA
Source: RNAcentral